UAAAAAUCUUGUUCAUUAAUGAAAAAUCCUUAAGAAAAAUUGUUUUUGCUGAGAAUUUGUUUCGUCUCGCAUCAUAACGGUCACAAAAAAAGUAUCAACAAUAGCUUCUAUAAAUAACCAUUCCCGCUAUCAUUAUAUCAUCUCUUAACUCUCUCUAAUUCAACACUCUGCGAUUAUUUCUGUGAAUUUGUGUUGUUUGCGGUUUCAAGAAUGUUGAUACCACUUUCAAUUGUAGAUGAUGUUGCUAUCGUUGAUUUAGGUCAACAACAUCAUCGCCACAACAUGUUACCUGUGUAUGUUCUCUUUGAUUCUCGUACCAUGUCUCACAGCCACCACCCACCACCACCAACAACAACAACAACAACACCGCCUUGGACUGUGAUAGACCAAGCUCUUCUCUUUGAUUCUCGUAUCGCCAACAUGUCUCAGAACCACAACAAUGUUCCAACAAGAUUAAUGUCUCACAACCACAACAGUGUUUCAUCAAGAUUCACUUCACCAACAGUGUCUGUGGUAGAUGAAACUGUUCUGUAUGAUUUUCAUAUCGGCAAUGUUCCAAGAAGAUCAAGGAAUCAUCCAUCAUGGUCAAUUAAUCAUCAAACGGGCCACCAUCACCACCACCACCACAAUGGUACUCGAGCUUCUCCAAAUGUGAUCGGUGUUCAAAAUACUCGAGCUUCUCCGGUGGUGAUCGGUGUUCAAAAUACUAGAGCUUCCCCGGUGGUGAUCGGUGUUCAAAAUACUAGAGCUUCUGGUGCUCAAGAUACUUGUCAACAUGUCACAACAUCAACAACAGAUGCUGAAUCCAUCUGUUGCAUUUGUCUUGUUCACUUGUCUAAUGGUUCUUCCAUGCCAAUUCGGCUGCGCUGCUCUCAUGAUUUUCAUACCGACUGCAUUCAAAAAUGGAUCAACAUUAAGAAAACUUGUCCACUUUGUCGCGCCAAUGUUUAAUUUUCAUAUAUUCAUGUGUUCUUGAUUUAUAAAAUUGUUUCCUUUCUCUUGUUAUUUUCCAUGUUUAGGUUUGAUGAUUUUCCAUGUUUAGGUUUGAUUCGCUGGGAUUACCACAAAUUCCUUCAAGCCCUCUGAGGUAAGUUUUUGUUGGGUUGCUAUUACCUAUGAUACAUCAUGUGUCUUGGAGUUUUAUUUGUUAGUAUAGGUUCUACAUAAAACAUAUAUGUGCUCUGUCUUUGUGUGCAAACCUGUUUUUUUGUGUCAAUAUGUGUUACACCACAUAUGUUUAAAGUUAUUUUGUUUGUGAAUAUUUAGAACUAUGCUUCUGUCAUUGCAGUCAUCCAGUUUUAUAGUUGUGAACAGAUGCUGGAUAAUGGUAGAUGUUUAUGUUGUCCUUCACUAGUCCAUUAGGCAAGGCCUAUAAAACAUUCAUUUUAAUGAUAAAAUAACAGUAAAGGUUUUGUUUCGUUUUGUCUCUAUCAAUUAUUAUAUGCUUGUUUGGUUGGAUGGAUUAUGGAAAGUAACAACUAUUUUGUUACAAUGGAGAAGGUGUGGGAUCUUAAUAUGGAUUAUAGCUUAUGGGUCACGUAAGCAUGCUUUUAUGAUUCUUACUAGUUAUGAUUCUAUGGUAAAUAUGAGAAGCAAUGAAGAUAAGAAAAUGUUAAAGAUUACUUUGUCUGGAUUUGUACUCAAGGUGACAAGUAUGUCAGGUUGUAUGGCAUUCAGAUGGAACUCAAAGGUAAAAUAUAUAUUUCAUUUUCUUUGAUGGAUUCACCUUUUUCCCUUGGUUGAAUGGAUGUUGGUUACUCUCUCUAUGCACAUAUUCAGAGAUGCAACUUGUUUUUGAAAUAAAAAGUUAAAAGUUUGUCAUUUCCCAACUAAUGGUUUUUUGUUUUCUGGUAAUGUUGCAAUGUUCAAGAUUAUUUAGGUAACUACUGAACAACUUACAAUAUUGUUUGUUGCUUUCACUUCCUUUUUCUUUGUCAAUAUGUGUUGCACCAAGAAUUGGAUUAAAGUGAUUUUGUCUGAGUCCCGGUGUUUGCAUAUUGUGGUUGUUUAGUCCCAUGAAGUUUAGGUGCAUGUUGUUUAGCUUGUUAUCUAUCAUUUAUUAGAAAUAUACUUGGACUUAUAGAGUAUUUUCUGUAGCUGCAACUUGUGGUAGAGUUGCGGCGGUUUUGAAGCAUCCUCCACCACUUAAUUUUACAACAGUAGCUGUGAGCCUAAUAAAUAAUCAGGAAACUUCUGCCAAUUAAUUUUACCACAGUAACUCAAUUAUUUAUUCGGUUAGGCUAAUCUUAGUAAAUUUGAGAAAACAAAAUUAAAUUCAAGCAAGAUUGCAUGUUUAACAAGGUUUGAACUUUUUGUCAAAUUUUGAUCAACCAAGGAUGCAACACAGGUGAUUUCAUUGCAUUUAUCUUUACUUUUUAUUUUUUAUGAUUUCAUUUCAUAUUUGUUUUAUGUACCAGCUAUACUUCUUCACCCUUUUCAAGGGUUCAGGAGGGUUCUAAAUCUUUAAAAUUUUCUAUUGUUUGUUGUGCAUGAAUAGAAGAGUCAUUGAGUCUGAGUUCUGAAAAUGGAGAAGAAUUAGUGAUGGUGUAACAAUUGUGAUCUAUCUCAAGUCAUAUAUGUACUCUUUACUUCUUGUUUUCUUGUUUUUUUUUCUUAUAGUUUUAACAUCUCUUAAUUGUAUGUUUCUUGGUUGUACAGUCAUUGUAAUGGUUAUAAUGCUAAUUGCUAAUGCCUUGAAGCUUUUGUGACCUUUUCUCAUCAGCAACAGAUUUUGAAACACUCUCCAUGUCCUUGCAUCUUCUUGCAACAUACUCAAAUUCUACUUUCGUUUGGUGCAUAUCCUUUGAAGUUUCUACCGUCGGCUUUUUAUCCUGAGAAACUUGUUGAGCCUUACAUGCCAAACAGCCGUGUUCAAAGAUUAUGGGACGUAGUGUAGGAUCUAAUUAAUUUAAAGAAAAUGGACCUCAGCUGUUGUGAGCACUUGAUAGAGCUUCCUGAUUUCUCCAUGGUAUCACAUCUCCAAUACAUUCACCUCUCUAGACGUGUAAGGCUGCGUCAUGUUCAUACAUCUACUUUAGCGCUCCAAAAUCUUGUCAAUUUAAUCCAGGUUUGGUGCAAAAAGCUCAAGAGUCUUAUAAGCAAUUCCUCUUUAAACUCUGCGAAUUCUCGAGCUCUAUGGCUGCUCAAGUCUCAAGGAAUUUUCUGUGAUAUCUACAAAAAUGACAUAGUUGGAUUUAAGAUGAUGUAUUGCUAUCAAUGAAUUGCGGCAGCCAUAAGUUAAGUACCUUGGAAGUCUUAUGAACUUGGAGCUGAGCAGCUAUGAUGGGCACCUUAGAUAUCUUCCAAAUGAGUUCUCAUGCUUGAAAUCUCUUGGCCAUCUGGUACUUUCUGAUUGCAUGCUACUUGACAUAUCGAAUGGCCGGCGUUCUUUAGGAUACUUUUGUCUGGACAACAGUUGUGAUCUGAUUGAUCUACCUCGCAACAACAACAACAUUCUGUUAAGAUUAUUAUAUUAUUUAUCACUCAGCGGAAUCAAUGUGAAGAACGUUCCUAUAAGCAUUAAGCAUCUUUCACAGCCAGAUUCUCUUGGCUUGUGCAAAUGCAUGAGCAUUUAGUCUCUACCAGAACUCCCACCAUCUAUUCAAGUGUUGGACGUCACCAACUGCACAUCCUUGGAGACCGUCGUCAUCUCUCGUGUUAUCAAUGAACUACUAGAAGAGCACAAGGUAUUCAUUUCCUUCAAAAAUUGUGUGAAAUUGAAUGAAUACUCAGAGGAAAGACUUCAAUGUCAGGUACUCUUCACUGUUUAAAGAGGGGACAUGUUUUUCUUCAGAGUCAAAAUCAACAAAAAUUUUGUUGUCUAAUUCAUUGGUUUCAAGUAGAACCAUCAAGUAGAACAUUCCUUGUUUAGAGUAGAACCAUCUAUGCUUAGAAAAGCACACAUCAGCCAUAUGAUGAUUCCUUCCACAGAAAGUUCAAUUUGUUAUUGUAGGCACCUUUCCCUUUUCCACCAGUAAGAUUAACAAGGGCUUGAGAUUCAUCAGCAAUAUUCAAAUCAUUUAAGCUCUCGUGUAUUUUUACCAAAAUUGCAUUACAAAGAAACUCAAGGUUAGGAGAGCAUGUCUUGUAUGUCAAAUGAGUAUUUAGUUAAAUUCUAGCUAGGUUCUGAUUUUGUAGUUUAUAUAACAGACUUUGUAUUUGUGAUAGCUUUUUGAAACACACAUAUUAUGGUUCUUUCUUCUUUGCUGUUUUUUUGACACACAUAUUAUACCAUUAAUUUUAAUUGGUAUAUGAUUCAUUUAAAUGCACCUGUGAAUUGUGAAUAAUAAAUCUAACUCUCUCUCCAAAGAGUUGUUGAACCAAGCCUUAUAUGGAAGCCUGCUUUUCUUUGCAAGAAGCUACAAGUAUAUACUCGUUCGAAAAGUUAUGUUGUUCAAAUUAACUGUUACAUGUCACAAUGUUUCAUGCACACAAAAUGCCCAAAACAAAUAUUAUAAAACAAACUUGAAACAUUAUUUCCACCAUAAUUCUCUCUGAUGGCUAUUGGUCAUAAUUCACUACUCUUACACACUUUCAUGUAGUGGCUAGUGGUCAUAAAACUAAUCGAUUAAAAGGAUUAUUGUCGUCAAAAGUUUCUGAACCACAUCCUAUACACUAUCCAGAUCACAAAAACAUGUUUUAACACACAACCCACUUUAACUAAGUUUCGCAAAAUAUUGUGGAACUUCCUACACAUAGUGAAAUAAUUUAUACUCUCAAAAUAGAUUAAAUGUUAAAGACAUCCAUGCACAACUUUAAAAUUAAAUCAAAUGAUGUUCAACUUGGCUUUAUCUUCAUUUUCCCAUGACUGUAACUCGUACCGUACAACUAUGCAUACAUUAAUAAUGAUUUACAACUUAAAAUGGUUUAUACUAUGACAAUAUGUGUUUUGUCUAUCUUAUCCUUAUUAUUUGUGUCAAUAUGUGUUAUGCCGCAGAUGUUUAAAGUGAUUUUGUUUGUGAAUAUUUAGAACUAUGCUUCUGUCCUUGCAAUCAUCCAGUUUUAUAGUUGUGAACAGAUGCUGAAUAACGGUAGAUGUUUAUGUUUAUGAGUUGUUAUGGUUCAGUUCUGUUUUCUCCUCAAAAGAAACUAAGAGUAUAUACUCCUUUACAAUCUUGUAAAGAAGAUGUUAAACUUGUUUUUGAUCUUCUUUUUGAGGGAGAAGAAAAGAAAUAUUGUGAUAGUUGGUGACACAGUUACAUUAACUGAAGAAGGACUAGUUAGUGAGUUGAUGGAAAAAUUUGAGAGAGGUGAAGUUUCUGAUAAGUUGAAAAAAGCUGAAUUUUGUGAAGUUCCAUAACCUUGCUUCAGUUUUUAAUUUGAAUUAUAUGAAAAGAUUAAAGAUUCCUCCAUCUGGAUUGGUACUCAAGCAGACGAGGUCUGUUAGGAUGUAUAUCAUUCAGAUCCUAACAGUAGUUAUUGUAAAACAAGCCUUAUAAGUUAUUUUAUUCUCUUAAUCUUGCAAUUAAUGUUUCUAUUUUUAAUUUGGUUUUGGUUGGAUGCAGUCAUGCAAUUUGGAGACCAGCAUCCUGAUGGUACAUUAUAUAUCUUAUAUGAGUUAUUCCUUUGUCCAAAUUUAGUAAUUACAUUGUCUGUGUUUCAGCUACCAGUAUUGGCUAGUGUUGCAGGAGUCUUAGGGGCUCAACAUAUGAUUCAUUCCCUUUGAUGGUUUCACCUUUUUCCCCUGCUUGAAUGAAUGUUGGUUACUCUCUCUAUGCAGAUAUUCAAAGAUGAAUUUUGUAUAUGUAGGAUGCAACUUGUUUGAAAUAGGAAGAUAAAGGUUUGUCAUUUGUCCCAACUAAUGUUUCUUUGUUUUCUAGUAAUGUUGCACUGUUCAAGAUUAUUUAGGUAACUACUCAACAACAACAUCUCGUUUCUCUCCUAAUACUCAUCAUAAUACUUGUUUGUUGCUAUCACAUUAGUAAGGUGUUGGUGCAAAUAUUUUGUAUCCACAAAAUUACAUUUCUUGGCAUUUGUGUAGAAUUCUGAACAUAGUCAAAACUGUAACCUUCAUUUCUUGCAAUCAUGUCUUCUUGAAUCGCGCACCACUUACAUGAUUUGAGAGGGGCAAGUGGAAAUCGAGGUCCCUUUCUCAAUACAAAGAAGCUCGAACAUAACAAUUCUAACGCCACCCUAAAAAAAGGCGACAACAUCCACACGAACUCCUCAGCUAGCCAGCCUGCUACUCAACAUUUGUUCACCAUCGAUGAGAAUCAAGGCUAACGAAAUGCAUCACAGUCCAUGCAUAAAAUGAAGGGUUUCAGUUUCAACUAUAGUCGCACAUUUCGCAAUUCUCUUCGGUACGUGGUGCGACUUUGGGUAUGCUGUACGGCACUUCAAAUAAUUAGGUUUUGAAAAUUUGCAAAGGUUUCCCACUCGCCAUUAAAGUGCCUGCAACAUCAGUCAGAAAUAGGCCUUAUGGCUUGUGUGGCAAAAGAUAGAGCUCAUGUCUUAAUAGCAAGGAAAAGUGCAAUUGAUGCAGACAAUUACAACCACAAUAGCCAUUUCACUGUCCUUCAUGAUUCUGUAAGAGAUUGGAAUUUACCAAAGAACCAAUUGAGCAUAGAAAAAGAAUGAUCAUUGACAUCAAUGAAGAUUUCCCAAUAUGACGAUAGAGGUUGGAGAAAAAAUGAAGCCUCUCUAGAGAGAAAAGCACAUCAACAAUCAUAUAUAUCCACACGAUUUGACGAAGCAGAGACCAUCGUAGAUAUCUGCAUUGGGUCUGGAAGACAAAGGUAGAGAAAUCUAAAGUGAGUAACCAUUGUAGAUAUCUGCAUUGGGUCCGGAAGACAAAGGUAGACAAAGAUAGAGGGUAUUGGGUUGGGAUUUUAGUAGUGUAAGUAGCUUUUGACUAUUUGUGUACUAAAAAAUGUGUCAUUUCUCAGUUUUUAUUUGUAUUCAAGUUAACAUAUCAUGGUUGUGCAAUUUUUCAAUCAAAGUUUCUUAGGAACUUAUUAUC
This is a long non-coding RNA of Lathyrus oleraceus (garden pea), 6958 nucleotides long. RefSeq lists it as uncharacterized. NCBI's taxonomy places the organism in Eukaryota, Viridiplantae, Streptophyta, Magnoliopsida, Fabales, Fabaceae. The transcript is spliced from 6 exons. The record is from RefSeq and is a predicted model, not a curated record.